AGAAUGCUUAACACAUGCAAGUCGAGCGAAGAAAUUUCUUUCGGGAAAGAGUAAGAGCGGCGGACGGGUGAGUAAUAUGUGGGUAACCUGCCUUAUUCAAAGGGAUAGCCACUGGAAACGGUGAUUAAUACCAUAUAAAACAGCAACAUCGCAUGAUGUAACUGUCAAAGAUUUAUCGGAAUAAGAUGGACCCGCACCUGAUUAGCUAGUUGGUAGUGUAAUGGACUACCAAGGCGACGAUCAGUAGCCGGCCUGAGAGGGUGAAC
RNAcentral lists this ribosomal RNA (266 nucleotides) under uncultured bacterium. RNAcentral's name for it is "partial 16S ribosomal RNA". It matches the Rfam family "Bacterial small subunit ribosomal RNA", at positions 45 to 305 of the family's 1533-position model. The record is from RNAcentral.